Non-coding RNA from Podarcis lilfordi (Lilford's wall lizard), 423 nucleotides. The record is from the annotation of a GenBank genome assembly. Lineage: Eukaryota; Metazoa; Chordata; Lepidosauria; Squamata; Lacertidae.
GGUUAAAGAAAGGACAUGGGCACUCAGAAGUUCUCUUUGGUGCGGGGCACAACUAUGGUGACUUGGGACUUUAUACUUGCCAUUGAUACAGGGUGUGUGCAUGGCUGGUUGUGCAUGUUCAAUUGGUGCUAAGGUUGGCAAAGUGGGUUCCACCCUCCUGUGCAACAGAAUGUCAUCAAGUCCUGUCACUUUCAGACAGACACUUUCAGACAUGCGACAGUGUGCUAGCUGCUCCGAUAUCUGAGCAUCUGGAAGAUUAUUUUUCCUAAAAGAGACCAGGUUAUCUGAAAUGCUGCCUGCUUCAAUGUAGACCUGAAAGAUGACUUGGCUUGCCUGGGGGAAAUCACACGCUAUCAUAGGGCAAUGACCACACAAAAGGCGUCUUCUGCUGUUGCCCCUGUUCUGUGGAGUGUCCUUACCUCU